UCUGGCAGCAGGAUAUAGGUCAAGAUUCCUCAAAAUAGCCGUGAAGCCGGAGGCAGUAGGGCCGUCACUGACCUGGUGAAACAGUAACUCUGUGUGGCAGGCGCCCACGUCCCUGUGUGCGCUCUGUGUGUUUCUCGUGAAACACUCGACUAGACGUUGACAUUUCAGGACUCCUGCAUCUCAGCGACAUGGCCGAGACUACAAUAUCUGACACCAUCAUGAAGGUGGUUUCAUCUUAAAUAUGUCUGGAUCCUGAGGCGUAGCUACAAGACAGGAAGCAGGAGAUCGGGCCUCAGGCUCUGGAGCUCUCUCAUGUAAGCUGUGGUUAAAAAGUCAGAAGAGAAAAACUCGAGGAAAAGAGACUGGACCACUGAAGAUGAAGAAGAAGAAGAAGAAGAAGAAAAAGAGCUCAUAGUGAUGGUGGGACGGAGCGGCGGAGGAGAAGCUGAUGGUGGAAUUGUCCUGUCACUGGAUGGAUUGACUCAUUCUUCCUGGCACACGGGGACCCCUAACAACUACUUGUCUCCUUCUGAUUAUAUCUCCCCCAACAGAUUACUGAGUUAGAGACUCCGACUUUGACCUUGGCUAAGUGUUCCGCCGAGUGAGAUCUUUUUUUUAUCUCCUUUAGGUAUUAACCCAGGUUUUUCAUUUCAUAUUUCACAUCUUAUACAUGCUUAUGCUUCGAAUAAAAUAAAUAAAUAAAUACAUAAAUAUGGGGAUGUAGUGCACCA
Long non-coding RNA from Tachysurus fulvidraco (yellow catfish), 731 nucleotides. RefSeq lists it as uncharacterized. The record is from RefSeq and is a predicted model, not a curated record. NCBI's taxonomy places the organism in Eukaryota, Metazoa, Chordata, Actinopteri, Siluriformes, Bagridae. The transcript has 4 exons.